GCGCCGAGGCGAGCCUCUUGACGCGGGCCACGCCGUCGCAGGCCGACAGCAGCAGCCACCGUGCGGAGGGAGGUGGCGCAGAUCCAGGGCCUCUGCGCGCAAAUGGACCACCUCUGGCGCUCCAUCCCCGCCAAGGGCCAGCGCGACCUCUGGAAGAGGUGGGUGACGGUGGUCUUCUUCUUCCUCUUGGCAACAAAACUGAAUCUGCCUGUUGGUUACAAAAAUCCAGCGACAUUUUAGUUUGCGUCCUUCUUGGUGGGUGGUUCGGAGGGGAAGCCCAUCAAGAACACGCAGCGAGUGAGAAGCACUCGCUGAGCUUAGAUGAUGUAUAUGUCAGCCUUGCCUCGGCAAAUUGUAGCUGCACUCUAGCUGAUUGGGGAUGCCGGUGCCAGAACCACCACGACCUCCACAUGCACGCCGUCAAUUGAGAGUUCCUAAUAGUAACUCAGCUUCUCAUGAUGUUACUUCUGCUUUAUAUGUCGGCAUGUACGAUUCUUAGUAGAUUUAACCAGGGUCUCAGUGUUUUGAUUCCAAUACCCAUCAUGCGCAAGCAGUAAAUAACUUAUUGAAAAUUAGCUUUUCGUCAUAGGAAUUGGCAUAACCAGGUUAGCAUGUAGAGAGCAUGAUUUUAUUUGUUGCUUCUAACUUAUUACUAAUUCUUGAUUUGUUGGUUUAUCCAUCCACCUUCUGGGAGCAGUGGAAAUCCUGCAGCCGCAUAUAUUAGAGUAAUAUGUACCAUUUUGAACCUUGAUUUUGUCCCCAGCUUGCACCAAAUGGCACUACCUACCAGCUUGCACCAAAACGGUAGUGUCAUUAUCAUGGUUCUGGAAUAUAUAGGGGACGGCGCCUGGGAAGGUCUCUCUUGUGCUUUGUUUCAUUCAUGGGCGUGGAUGAUAUAGGGUUAGUUAGAGUUCUGCUACUUUUGGGAUUAAUUGGCUCCAAUGCCUGUUGUCUGUGGAUGGUCUCUUCUCCCUGUGCAGCAGCACCAGGAUGGAUUCGGCACUAAGCCGGCGUGAGCCACAAAUUUGCCAUGAAAGGAGCUAUUCCCGGUGAUCAUGAUGUUGCCAAGACUAAGAGAACCAGUGUUAUAUCGGUGAUGCCUUUUGCCACUUGAGAGAUCCAGCACGGUAUUUUUACUUUUCUUCUCUCAUAGAAAAGAAUAAAAAAAGAUACUGCUCCAAAUACUCUUUCAGUUUUUUUUCUGUAAGUUUCCUACAACGCAUUUGCAACAGUAUUGCUAAGAAUAAGAUGCAUCAGCUGACAUACUGACUACCAAGCAAGAGCUACACUAUUGUCAGACAUCAGUCCAUGAGCUAUAUAGUAUAUUCCCUCUGUUGGCUAUACACUUCUCUUGGUACGUCUAAACAUUCUGUCAAUUGGUCCUACAUUACCUUGGCUUCUCUAUAAACACAUUCUAUGCAUGAAGAACAUAUCAUGCUAUGCCCUAUCCCAUCGUAGUCCUGCCUGAUUCACAGUAGGAUCAUCACUCUACUUUUCUCUGUAAGAUUAAACUGCUGGUCUUCAUAUACUUUUGUUAUGUAGAAUCACUCUCUUUUGUUUAUAGAUAUUAAUCUAUUCUGAACUACUGCAUAAGAUUACUUUGUUCUUGGAAUGCCAUUCUUUCCAAUGACAUUAUGUUCUCUUUUGCAAUCAUUUUCUUUUUGGAGAUUCAGAUUUUCUUUGCACAAAUAAUGUUAGUUUCCAGUAGCACCAAAUUCAUUUUCCCAUGUCAGCGAGACCAAUUCCGUGAUGAAGGUCUCUACGGAAUGCGCACUAAUUUAGAAUAGUGUAGGAAUGACCACUCAACUAGCUAGCGUUCCAAACUUCAAUUCCAUGUAGUGAUACCCAACAACACAACAAUUUGAAGUCUCUUUUUUCUAGAGAAAAAGGGACCCUGCCCCGGCUCCAUUUUACUAAAAAAAAUAAAGCCCACCAAAUCUUACUUCUUACAAUGCGUACAGAGUACAACAUAGCACGCCUUAGCAAAAGGAGGUAAAUCUCGCGUGGAAUCCAAAACUACAAGAUCUCUGAUACGAAAACAUACACGUUCCUCGCACCAUAGCAUAGAUAAAUAUUAGCAUGGUAUUGUCACAUUUAGUCAGACUGAUUUAUCAAAAGGGAAUGAAAUUGGAUUUUGUAUCCCAUAUGUAAAGGAGGUAUGUUAUCAGUUUCUGUUUAACUUUUCAUGAAUGCACAUCAAUUAUGAUUUAUGAAUUGAUUUUAUGAGCAAAUAGAUGCUAGCAAGCAAUUUCAUUUCAGUUCUGAAGAUUAUAUUUUAAUGCCUACUACCUACUAAUUAAGGUGGGAUAAAGAUGGAAAUCCGCCUGCAAUUACAAAUGUCCUCAUGCUUUGUUCAACAAAAAUGUUAGCAAUAAUACAGUACAUCAACUGUCUAUUGUGAGCAACAACCAAUGUCUUGUAUAUUAUUUAUGUUAUAAUUUUUUUGAUUGGCAGUUUCUGUUUUUUCUUGGAAUUCAAAUACAUUAUGAAACUCUUAUUCGUCAAUACUUACACAAGAACAUUGUGGAUCAAAGGUCAAUAUUCUGACUAAACAGUUGAUGGACUCUGUCAUGAAGGUUGUGCAGUAUCACCAUGUAACGCACAUCUUCUGCAUGCUACUGGUCAUGGUGGUGCUUGCCAAGCAUAGGACGUCCAUGAAGUACAACCUCAACUCUCUCAGGUUCAUCAGCUCCAAUGGCACGCUGGUCCGCGUAUGUGAAGAACUUCCUUGGCGUCGAGAUGUUUCAGGUAAUUGGCCAAUUGUUUUGCAGUUUAACUGCGAGUGACAGCAGUAUUAAUUGUGUGGCUUAGGAAGACUAUAGACUUUUCAGCGUCUUGUUGUUCUUAUGUUGGGCACAUCUUUCUUGUCAUUUCUUCAAAGUCAAUCUUGUGUGGUGCAUUUUUGUUCAUCUAUGUCCUUUGGUAGAACCAAACAAGAGCUUUAUAUAGAUGGAUAUCUUUUAAUCUGCCUGUACUGCGUUUAUUAGAGUGCUCUGCACAGAAAAAAUAUUUUCUUAAGCAUACUGCCCCUUUUAUCAAUUGUUUAUGACUACAUAUGGAUGGAUGAUUAAAGGCAAGACUUUACUAGAUGAAAUAUAAGGGGAUAUUUCAGCUUUAUUAUCUGCUUUGCCGGCUACCUGUUAUAUGCAAUUUUUUCUUCUGGAUUCUAGAUUACCGAGUGGUCUCUAAUACACCAUGAAACUUAUCUUUAUAAGUUGGCCUUAAGCCGACGGACAAUAUUUAGUACUGGUAAAAAAGUUUAUGUUGUGAUAGUCGUAUGUCGUAUACCAGGAUGGUGAACUGUACCAGCUCACUGCUCAUGACAUUUUUGUCAGUACUAUGGUUCCUAUGAAGGAGCUUCCUCUUGUGACUGUAAAUUGUUUUUACUAGGCAUUGUCCCAUAUGGUAUAGAUAUGGCCGAUGGCUUUAAUUCAUUAAGAGAUUUGCUUAUAUCAACACCAGUACACCACUAUCCACUCACAUCAAUCACACUCUUUGUAUGCUGCAAAUUGACGGAUGCAUGACUUCUCACUGGGAAGUUUAUCAACCCAUAGGUACGAAACUAGCUCAAUUUCACACGAGUACUAACUACAUAUUGAAAUGCAGACUAAGGACACAAAGGCGAAGAUGGCCGAGAAGACUCCACGGAGGCUUCUAAGGAAAGAAAUGCGCUGAUUUACUGAGCAACAAGUUGAUCUAUUGUGAGAGGCACUACGCAGAGGAUGGACAUAACAGGGGACACGUUUGAGCCCUAUGUAGAUCUUCUGCGUCUUACUUUAUGCAAGUUUGAUUAUAUGAGUGCGUUACUUUUUUGAUGAUAUUAUCAUAUUUGAAAGGAAUGAGAAGCACAACUCCUAA
This is a long non-coding RNA of Hordeum vulgare subsp. vulgare (domesticated barley), 3858 nucleotides long. RefSeq lists it as uncharacterized. The record is from RefSeq and is a predicted model, not a curated record. The transcript has 3 exons. NCBI's taxonomy places the organism in Eukaryota, Viridiplantae, Streptophyta, Magnoliopsida, Poales, Poaceae.